This is a non-coding RNA of Phthorimaea operculella (potato tuberworm), 72 nucleotides long. Lineage: Eukaryota; Metazoa; Arthropoda; Insecta; Lepidoptera; Gelechiidae. The record is from the annotation of a GenBank genome assembly.
GCGCCAGUAGCUCAACUGGCAGAGCAGUGGGACGGUACCCCACGGUCCCGAGUUCAAGUCCCGGCCGACGCU